UAGAUGCUCAAGAAAUGUCUACCCAGGAU
This 29-nucleotide non-coding RNA is filed under the name Rattus norvegicus (Norway rat). The record is from RNAcentral. Lineage: Eukaryota; Metazoa; Chordata; Mammalia; Rodentia; Muridae.